This 279-nucleotide ribosomal RNA is filed under the name uncultured bacterium. Its description in RNAcentral is "partial 16S ribosomal RNA". It matches the Rfam family "Bacterial small subunit ribosomal RNA", at positions 506 to 784 of the family's 1533-position model. The record is from RNAcentral.
UGCCAGCCGCCGCGGUAAAACGGAGGGUGCAAGCGUUGUUCGGAAUUACUGGGCGUAAAGCGCGCGUAGGUGGUUUGGUAAGUCAGAUGUGAAAGCCCCGGGCUCAACCUGGGAAUUGCAUUUGAAACUGCCUCACUAGAGUAUGGUAGAGGGAAGUGGAAUUCCGGGUGUAGCGGUGAAAUGCGUAGAUAUCCGGAGGAACAUCAGUGGCGAAGGCGGCUCCCUGGCCAAAGACUGACGCUCAUGUGCGAAAGUGUGGGUAGCGAACAGGAUUAGAUG